AAGGAAGGAAAUGGCGUAACUAUGAUGCACAAGUUACCGGAUAUUCUCAACCUCAGGCCUCUGAAUCAGAAACUCAACUCUGAGGAUAGGCUCAGCAACCUGUUUCAUGGAGCCCUCCAAGUAAUACCAAAGUCCGGGCAGGUUUGAGCUGUAUAUAAUAAUAAAAGUCUUGGAGUUCUCUUGUGGCGGCAGCGGGUUAAGGAUCCCCAAGGUUUCCGCGUUGUCAGUGCAGCGGCUUUCAUUACCGUGGCUCGGGUUUGAUCCCUGACUCAGCAACUUCCACAUGGCUCUGGCAAAAAAAAAAAACAAACAUAAAAGGUCUUUGUGGCUACAAAAGCGCUGAUUAGGUUAUGGCAGAACCCAUUGGAGAGGAGAAUGGUUUAUUUAAAACCCAUUUGGGGAGUUCCCGUCGUGGCGCAGUGGUUAACAAAUCCGACUAGGAACCAUGAGAACCAUGAGGUUGCGGGUUCGAUCCCUGGCCUUGCUCAGGAUCUGGGUUGCCGUGAGCUGUGGUGUAGGUCUGCUCGGAUCCCGCGUUGCUGUGGCUCUGGUGUAGGCUGGAGACUACAGCUCCCAUUCGACCCCUAGCCUGGGAACCUCCAUAUGCCGCGGGAAGCGGCCCUAGAAAAGGCAAAAAGACAAUAAAUUAAUUAAUUAAUUAAAACCCAUUUGGGGAAUUCCACUGUGGCGCCCUGGGUUAAGCAUCCAGCAUUGCCACAGUGCUGUGACAGGUUGCUGCAGCUGCAGCUCAGAUUUGAUCCCUGGCCCAGGUAUAUUCCAUAUUCCAAGGGUGUGGCAGGAAAAAACCCAAACCUCUUUUGUUAGCCCUUACCUGGUUUUCAUUACGUUAUGUAGGUUAAUAUCGCCUGAAGGGGAACAAGUUAUAAUCUUGGGUGAUAAGCAGAGUGGUGUGAAUACUUCCAUUUAUGUUUAAAAAGAAAUGUGCAUCAAGUGUGUAAUCUUAUGUGCUGUUUAUGGACUGAUAAACAAACCUGGAGAUUUGGAAUGAAAGCAAAAUGUUUUCACUGAUUAUGCUUUUUACUUUUUAAUCCUCUUUUUUCAUAGCAUAAAAGUUUUUUCCAAAUUAAAAAAUAUAUAUAGUUUAAAAAAGGGUAAAGGCCUGAGACACAGAGGCUAUAUGAAUGCCAGGAGAGAAUCUUCCCUGGAGGAUUGGGGUCUUGCUAGAACUUUAAGAAAGUCCUCCUCUAAUGUGGGCUAACUCUUCUGGAUUGUGACAACAUCUUGCUUCUGUGCCUUCUUGCCUUCUCUUUUCUUUUGUUUUCUUUUCUUUUCGAAGAGGUCUUAAUGUGUUCUUCUCUAUGUACACACUCAUCCCUCAUGUUGAGUCAGAUAACUAUAGAGAGAAAACCAGGACAGGUUUGUUAUGAUUGAGGUGAUAGUCAACUUGCAAGAACUGAAAAUGCUGGAGUUCCCAUGGUAGUAUUAAUGAACCCAACUAGUAUCCAUGAGGACUCAGGUUUAAUCCCUGGCUUUGUUCAAUGGGUUAAGGAUCCAGUUUUGGCAUGAGCUUUGGUGUAGAUCACAGACGCAGCUUGGAUCCCUAGUUGCUGUGGCUGUGGUGUAGCCUGACAGCUCUAAGCUCUGAUUCGAUCUCUAACCUGGGAACUUCCAUAUGGUGUGGACGCAGCCCUAAAAAGACAAAAACAACAACAAAAAAACCAAACCAAAAAAAAAAAAAAACCUGCUGCAGAGGGCAGCAGUGUGUAGCUAGAAUUAAGAGGGAAGACAAACCAGAGAGGAUGUCCUCUCUGGUUUUUCCUUAAUAUAGUAGAAAUCUGUUUAAAAUAUAAUGUAGUUUUUGACAACUGCCGUUAUUUUAAUUGUGUAUGUUUAAAAGCUAAUGCCAGAAGGAUCUUCCUUGAAUAUAAACUUUAUAGUUGUACAAAAAUUUCUCAAAUAAUAAUAGAUGCAAACUAUUGCCUUUGGAAUGGAUAAGCAAUGAGAUCCUGCUGUGUAACAUGGGGAACUAUGUCUAGUCACUUAUGAUAGAGAAUGAUAAUGUGAAAAAAAAGAAUGUAUACAUGUAUGUGUAACUGGGUCACCAUACUGUACAGUAGAAAAUUGUCAGAACACUGUAAACCAGCUAUAAUGGAAAAAAAAUCAAAAUCAUUAUACAAAAAGUUAAAAAAAAAUUUUCUCAAAUAAGAACUCUUCAUGAACCCCCUAGAUCAGAAAAUAGGUGAAGAUUUAUAGGAGUUCCUGUUGUGGCUCAGCUAUAACAAACCCAACUAGUAUACAUGAGGACUCAGGUUCAAACCCUGGUCUUGCUCAGUGGGUUAAGGAUCCCAUGUAGCCAUGAACUGUAAACUGUGGUGUGGGUUGCAGACCUGGCUCAGAUCCCACACUGCUGUGGCUGUGGUGUAGGCUGUCAGCUGCAGCUCUGAUUUGACUCCUAGCCUGGGAACUUCCAUAUGCCUUGGGGGUGGUCCUAUUGAAAAAAAAAAAAAAAAAAAAAAAAGGACAGACAAAAGAUUUAUAAGCUCCAGUAUAGAUUUUUUGAUAACUCUUGUUUUCAGGAUUGCUUUUAAUCUAUCCCUCAGUGCAACAUAGAUUAUAUUUGGAAAGAAAAGAUAUAAUGAAUAUUAUUAGUUCUCAUGAAGAGAUAACAGGCACCAUUCUAAUCACUUUACAUGUAUUCAUUUAUUUUUCACUAUGAGUCUGUAUACUUUUAAAGACCAAAUGGGGAGUUUCCGUUGUGGCUCAGUGGGUUAAGAACCUGACAUAAUGUCUGUGAGGAUGGGGGUUCGAUCUCUGGCCUCGCUCAGUGGGUUAAGGAUCCAGCAUUGCCACAAGGUUGAAAAUGAGGCUCGGAUCCUGUGUUGCCAUAGGUUGAAGAUGAGGCUCGGAUCCUGUGUUGCUGUGGCUGUGGCGUAGGCUGGCAGCUGCAGCUCUGAUUCAGCCCGUAGCCUGGGAAUGUUCAUAGUGCAGCCCUUAAAAGCAAAAAAAAAAAAAAAAAAAAAAAAAAAAA
Molecule: long non-coding RNA, 2989 nt
Filed under: Sus scrofa (pig)
Lineage: Eukaryota; Metazoa; Chordata; Mammalia; Artiodactyla; Suidae
Description: lncRNA (ENSSSCG00030057518.1)
Source: RNAcentral